UUACCCGGUGGAAUUUUAGCAAUUAAUUAAGCGGAGGAAAAGAAACUACCCAGGAUUCCCCUAGUAACGGCGAGUGAACAGGGAAGAGCUCAAAGUGAAAAUCGGUCCAUACCGGAUUGAAUUGUAGCCUCGAGAAGCGUUACCAGUGACUGUACAGGGAUAAGUCUCCAGGAAAGGAGCAUCGGAGAGGGUGAGAGUCCCGUCUUUUGCUCUGGGUCAGUUGCGCACGGUGCGUUUUCAUAGAGUCGCGUUCCUUGGGAUUGGAGCGCAAAAUGGGUGGUAAAUUUCAUCUAAAGCUAAAUAUUGGUGAGAGACCGAUAGCGAACAAGUACUGUGAAGGAAAGAUGAAAAGGACUUUGAAAAGAGAGUUAAAAGUACCUGAAACCGCUAAAAGGGAAGCGAAUGAAACCAGUAGUGCACACGGUGAAGCUCUGGGGUGAUGCUUCCACUGUCGGCGAACCGCAAGGGCGUCGGUGGAUGGAACGUGUUAUCGUUGGGUGUCAUCCGUAUGCAAUGUCAGCAUCAGCUGGGAGUAGGGGAUAACUUCGGAACCCUGCACUCGGCUGAGGUUUGUUGCCGUAUUUAACCUUCGGGGACUUGCGGUAUACGAUGCUGACUAAAUGGUUUUAUCCGACCCGUCUUGAAACACGGACCAAGGAGUCUAACAUGUGUGCGAGUAUGCGGGUGGCAAACCUGUAUGCGUAAUGAAAGUGAUAGUUGGGAUAUUUGCACCAACGACCGACUUCGAUCUUCUGAGAGAGGUUUGAGUACGAGCAUAUCUGUUAGGACCCGAAAGAUGGUGAACUAUGCCUGAGUAGGGUGAAGUCAGGAGAAAUUCUGAUGGAAGCCCGUAGCGAUACUGACGUGCAAAUCGUUCGUCAAACUUGGGUAUAGGGGCGAAAGACUAAUCGAACCAUCUAGUAGCUGGUUCCCUCCGAAGUUUCCCUCAGGAUAGCUGGAGUUUUUACAGUUUUAUCAGGUAAAGCGAAUGAUUAGAGGAUUUGGGGAAGUAGCUUCCUCGACCUAUUCUCAAACUUUAAAUGGGUAAAAUGCAAUGGUUUCUUUAUUGAACCAUUGCGGGAAAUGUUAACUCCAAGUGGGCCAUUUUUGGUAANCAAAACUGGCAUUCGCCGGAUAGAAAUU
RNAcentral lists this ribosomal RNA (1143 nucleotides) under Piridium sociabile. RNAcentral describes it as "partial large subunit ribosomal RNA". It matches the Rfam family "Eukaryotic large subunit ribosomal RNA", at positions 21 to 1174 of the family's 3401-position model. Lineage: Eukaryota; Vitrellaceae. The record is from RNAcentral.